AAGUCCACAGUUCACUUGUCAUAAAACAUAUACAAAACCUACUUUAAUGUUGAAAUUAAGCACUGUACUGCAAACACAAAUCUAACUUUAUAAUGUGCAAGCUGCGACCUAUUUAAACCUAUCAUUGCAAACUAAUACACGAUAGGGAACAUCAGAAUAAAUAGAGAAUGGAAGAGAAGGAAAAAAAGAACAGGAAAAUUGAAUUAGCUACAACUUGUAUUCCAUCAAAUUCGUUGAACUACGCAAUCAACCUUAGUCAUUGUUCAUUGAGCUAAGAAGGAUACCUGGCAAACAAAGUAAGAGAGAAGUGAGGAAAUCAACAGUAAGCAGCAGCAAACAAGCCCAGAUUUGAUAAAUCAAACAAUGGUUAGCUCAGUAAAACCAAUAGAAUAGUAGACGGAUCCCAAAACAAAACAGACUUUAAACCAAACUUAAACCACUUCCCUCACCCAACAUUCAAUUUCAGUGAUUUUUUAGUGAUUCUAAAUUUAGAGAAUGAUUCAGAGAAUUGAAAUAGAUAAUCUAGACCAAUUCAAGUAACUUUCAACAGUUUUAUUGGAUUUUUAGAAGGAAAUCAUUGAAUAUCAGCAUCAGUAUAUCUUUCUAUUUUUUGUGCUUCCUGGUGUUCACUCCUUCUGCCUUGAAAGGCAAGUUUGCCAUGCCUUUAUGGACAAG
RNAcentral lists this long non-coding RNA (675 nucleotides) under Nicotiana benthamiana. Its description in RNAcentral is "long non-coding RNA (NBEN_LNC023916)". Lineage: Eukaryota; Viridiplantae; Streptophyta; Magnoliopsida; Solanales; Solanaceae. The record is from RNAcentral.